RNAcentral lists this small RNA (819 nucleotides) under uncultured Fusarium. RNAcentral's name for it is "eukaryotic LSU rRNA". The stretch from base 543 to 819 matches the Rfam family "Eukaryotic large subunit ribosomal RNA", at positions 1 to 281 of the family's 3401-position model. Lineage: Eukaryota; Fungi; Ascomycota; Sordariomycetes; Hypocreales; Nectriaceae. The record is from RNAcentral.
CUUGGUCAUUUAGAGGAAGUAAAAGUCGUAACAAGGUCUCCGUUGGUGAACCAGCGGAGGGAUCAUUACCGAGUUUACAACUCCCAAACCCCUGUGAACAUACCUUAAUGUUGCCUCGGCGGAUCAGCCCGCGCCCCGUAAAACGGGACGGCCCGCCAGAGGACCCAAACUCUAAUGUUUCUUAUUGUAACUUCUGAGUAAAACAAACAAAUAAAUCAAAACUUUCAACAACGGAUCUCUUGGUUCUGGCAUCGAUGAAGAACGCAGCAAAAUGCGAUAAGUAAUGUGAAUUGCAGAAUUCAGUGAAUCAUCGAAUCUUUGAACGCACAUUGCGCCCGCUGGUAUUCCGGCGGGCAUGCCUGUUCGAGCGUCAUUUCAACCCUCAAGCCCCCGGGUUUGGUGUUGGGGAUCGGCUCUGCCUUCUGGCGGUGCCGCCCCCGAAAUACAUUGGCGGUCUCGCUGCAGCCUCCAUUGCGUAGUAGCUAACACCUCGCAACUGGAACGCGGCGCGGCCAUGCCGUAAAACCCCAACUUCUGAAUGUUGACCUCGGAUCAGGUAGGAAUACCCGCUGAACUUAAGCAUAUCAAUAAGCGGAGGAAAAGAAACCAACAGGGAUUGCCCUAGUAACGGCGAGUGAAGCGGCAACAGCUCAAAUUUGAAAUCUGGCUUUCGGGCCCGAGUUGUAAUUUGUAGAGGAUACUUUUGAUGCGGUGCCUUCCGAGUUCCCUGGAGCGGGACGCCAUAGAGGGUGAGAGCCCCGUCUGGUUGGAUGCCAAAUCUCUGUAAAGUUCCUUCGACGAGUCGAGUUGUUUGGGAAU